Molecule: ribosomal RNA, 427 nt
Filed under: uncultured Acidobacterium sp.
Lineage: Bacteria; Pseudomonadati; Acidobacteriota; Terriglobia; Terriglobales; Acidobacteriaceae
Description: bacterial SSU rRNA
Rfam family: Bacterial small subunit ribosomal RNA
Source: RNAcentral
AACGCGAAGAACCUUACCUGGGCUCGAAAUGUAGUGGACUGGGGUAGAAAUAUCCCUUCCUAGCAAUAGGUCGCUAUAUAGGUGCUGCAUGGCUGUCGUCAGCUCGUGUCGUGAGAUGUUGGGUUAAGUCCCGCAACGAGCGCAACCCUUAUCUCCAGUUGCCAUCAUUCAGUUGGGCACUCUGGCGAAACCGCCUCGGAUAACGGGGAGGAAGGUGGGGAUGACGUCAAGUCCUCAUGGCCUUUAUGUCCAGGGCUACACACGUGCUACAAUGGCCGGUAUAAACCGCUGCAAACCCGCGAGGGGGAGCUAAUCGGAAAAAGCCGGCCUCAGUUCGGAUCGCAGUCUGCAACUCGACUGCGUGAAGCUGGAAUCGCUAGUAAUCGCAGAUCAGAAUGCUGCGGUGAAUACGUUCCCGGGCCUUGUA